RNAcentral lists this transfer RNA (65 nucleotides) under Anthrenus verbasci (variegated carpet beetle). Its description in RNAcentral is "tRNA-Ile". The record is from RNAcentral. RNAcentral also lists the same sequence under 1 other name. Lineage: Eukaryota; Metazoa; Arthropoda; Insecta; Coleoptera; Dermestidae.
AAUAAGGAGCCUGAGGAAAGGACUAUUUUGAUAGAAUAGAAAACGUAAAAAUUUUACCCUUAUUA